Molecule: ribosomal RNA, 497 nt
Filed under: uncultured bacterium
Lineage: Bacteria
Description: partial 16S ribosomal RNA
Rfam family: Bacterial small subunit ribosomal RNA
Source: RNAcentral
GAUGAACGCUGGCGGCGUGCCUAAUACAUGCAAGUCGAGCGAACGGACGAGAAGCUUGCUUCUCUGGUGUUAGCGGCGGACGGGUGAGUAACACGUGGAUAACCUACCUAUAAGACUGGGAUAUCUUCGGGAAACCGGAGCUAAUACCGGAUAAUAUUUUGAACCGCAUGGUUCAAAAGUGAAAGACGGUCUUGCUGUCACUUAUAGAUGGAUCCGCGCUGCAUUAGCUAGUUGGUAAGGUAACGGCUUACCAAGGCAACGAUGCAUAGCCGACCUGAGAGGGUGAUCGGCCACACUGGAACUGAGACACGGUCCAGACUCCUACGGGAGGCAGCAGUAGGGAAUCUUCCGCAAUGGGCGAAAGCCUGACGGAGCAACGCCGCGUGAGUGAUGAAGGUCUUCGGAUCGUAAAACUCUGUUAUUAGGGAAGAACAUAUGUGUAAGUAACUGUGCACAUCUUGACGGUACCUAAUCAGAAAGCCACGGCUAACUACGUG